RNAcentral lists this ribosomal RNA (446 nucleotides) under uncultured bacterium. Its description in RNAcentral is "bacterial SSU rRNA". It matches the Rfam family "Bacterial small subunit ribosomal RNA", at positions 330 to 792 of the family's 1533-position model. The record is from RNAcentral.
CCCAGACUCCUACGGGAGGCAGCAGUGGGGGAUAUUGCACAAUGGGGGAAACCCUGAUGCAGCGGCGCCGCGUGAGUGGAGAAGUAUUUCGGUAUGUAAAGCUCUAUCAGCAGGGAAGAAAAAAGACGGUACCUGACUAAGAAGCCCCGGCUAACUACGUGCCAGCAGCCGCGGUAAUACGUAGGGGGCAAGCGUUAUCCGGAUUUACUGGGUGUAAAGGGAGCGUAGACGGCAAUACAAGUCGGAAGUGAAAUACCCGGGCUUAACCUGGGAACUGCUUUGGAAACUGUAUGGCUGGAGUGCUGGAGAGGUAAGCGGAAUUCCUAGUGUAGUGGUGAAAUGCGUAGAUAUUAGGAGGAACACCAGUGGCGAAGGCGGCUUACUGGACAGUAACUGACGUUGAGGCUCGAAAGCGUGGGGAACAAACAGGAUUAGAUACCCUUGUA